GAGAGAUGUCACUAUCACCUAAGUAAUUUAAUAAUCCUGUUUGACCUAACUAUUCAAGGUUCAUUCUACACCCUCUUUAUUUAUUUUUUUUUCCACAGAGAGGAAAAUAUACUAUUCCAAAGUGGCUCUCUCCUAGCAGUACGCUGCUGCUUAGCCAAAUGCUACAGGUGGACCCAAAGAAGCGGAUUACAGUUAAGCAUCUGUUAAGUCACCCGUGGCUCAUGGAAGGUUAUUGAGAUGCUGUCCACUGGCAAAGUAAAUAUCCACAGGGACACCUUGACGAGGACUGCGUGACAGAGCUUUCCGUGUUUCACAACCAGAGCAGGGAGAGUAUAUAGGAUUUAAUAUCAGAGGUAAGAACUACAUGUUGUUAAUUUGUUGUAAUUAAGCAUGCUAAUACGGUAUGUAACCUUAGCGUAUUGGCAGCCUCAUGGUGCCUUAUUCUCAGGCGUGAGUUUUGCUGUUUUUCUUGUUGUACUCCCAAUCAACUUGCUAGCAGGCAGCCUAGGAAGAGGAAAGAACUUCUCCAGUAUGGCCACUUACAAAUAUUAAGGACAUGGUGGCUUACAGUAGACUACAGAAAGUUGAAUGCAGCUACUAAACCAUUGACUGCCACAGCACCCAGUCUGUCUGACAUACCUAAUCUGCUUAAUACAGCAGGAUUUAAAUGAUGGCUGUCGUUGGUGUUAGAGAUAUCUUUUGGUCACAUUACCACGGCAGGAACAAGACCAAUUUGCUUUUACUUUGGAAGUAAUACAGCAUUUUUUGCUCAUUUACCCCAGGGGGUUAAGCACAGACUUGCACCAACACAUGCUGAAUUGGCUAAGACAUUAGAAGAAGUAAGGUUACCUGCUGGAAUCACAUCAAUUCACUAUGUAGAUAUUGAGUGGGGACAGUGAUGAGCAGCAAGUACAAGAAGGAAUGGGCUUCCUCAUAGACAGACAUAUGCCAGCAGUACUCAUAUCUGUUAGCCACUCUCACAACUAUUUGCAAUUGCUGGCAGUUGUACUGAUUAUUGUGCUAAGAAGCUACCCAUGAAUGGCCCGGGGUAUAUUCUGAACAUAGAGUCCCUACUAAUAUCAAGAAAAUUCUCAAUUUCACCUUUCCAACCAAAUGGCACAAGCAUAACACUAGUAGUACAGAAAGUACAAAUGAGAAUUUUGAGUACAAUGAGACCUGGACAGGCUGGAGAGCUGGGCAGGAA
Non-coding RNA from Anas platyrhynchos (mallard), 1204 nucleotides. Lineage: Eukaryota; Metazoa; Chordata; Aves; Anseriformes; Anatidae. The record is from RefSeq and is a predicted model, not a curated record.